Molecule: long non-coding RNA, 734 nt
Organism: Ailuropoda melanoleuca (giant panda)
Lineage: Eukaryota; Metazoa; Chordata; Mammalia; Carnivora; Ursidae
Exons: 2
Source: RefSeq, a predicted model, not a curated record
ACAAGCCCAUUUGUGGUAGGCCCCUCUUGGAAAUUUUGGAUGGCUUAUGGCCUUCAGAGUCUACUUCCAACUUCUAGUCAAGACCUUCUGCGAUCUGACUCAUAGCUGACUUUCAAAGCCUCUGCUAUACUCCAUUCUUCAGUGUGCAGGCCAUGCCGAGUAUACUGUGUUGUACACAUUCAUGCCACCAUGUCUUUGUCUUCCAGGUUGUUCCCUUGGCUAUAGUGGUGCUGUGUUCUCUGUGGGCAGAUCAUUCCCAUUCUUGAAGUUCAUCUCAGUAAAGCCUUCUCUACCAACUCUACUCCCUACUGAAUCAUUCCUUUUCCUACAAGAGUUGGAAGAGAUGCUCUACUGCCGGCCACAGGAUCAGGCUUUCUGAGCUGCCAAUGAAGGGAUGAUCAGAAGCGUGGAGGAGUAAGCUCCCAGUGUGGGGAGCCUUGAUUAAUGAAACAGAGGACGGGAGGGAGCCUGGCAGGCAAAUUCUACCCCUCCUUGCUCCCUUCUUUGGAGGACGGUCUGGAAAGGUUUUUCCUUUCAAGCCUUGCAGAGAAAGUUUAGCCAACUGAGCAAACGUGCCAAAGGACACCUGUGUCCUCCUGACUCAUUGUGGAACCUGCCUAUGAGGUAACCCAUUACCUCACAUUGCUUUGCAGCUUUCCUUGCUUCACAUCCCUUUUUUCCUCACCCUCACCAGUCUGUUUGCCUAUUUCCCAAAUAAAAUGUCAGCACUUUAA